This 482-nucleotide ribosomal RNA is filed under the name uncultured bacterium. Its description in RNAcentral is "partial 16S ribosomal RNA". It matches the Rfam family "Bacterial small subunit ribosomal RNA", at positions 30 to 507 of the family's 1533-position model. The record is from RNAcentral.
AUUGAACGCUGGCGGCAUGCUUUACACAUGCAAGUCGAACGGUAACAGGCCGCAAGGUGCUGACGAGUGGCGAACGGGUGAGUAAUGCAUCGGAACGUGCCCAGUCGCGGGGGAUAACUACUCGAAAGAGUAGCUAAUACCGCAUACGAUCUAUGGAUGAAAGCGGGGGACCGCAAGGCCUCGAGCGAUUGGAGCGGCCGAUGUCAGAUUAGGUAGUUGGUGGGGUAAAGGCUCACCAAGCCAACGAUCUGUAGCUGGUCUGAGAGGACGACCAGCCACACUGGGACUGAGACACGGCCCAGACUCCUACGGGAGGCAGCAGUGGGGAAUUUUGGACAAUGGGCGCAAGCCUGAUCCAGCAAUGCCGCGUGCAGGAAGAAGGCCUUCGGGUUGUAAACUGCUUUUGUACGGAACGAAACGGCUCUGGUUAAUACCCGGGGCUAAUGACGGUACCGUAAGAAUAAGCACCGGCUAACUACGUG